UGGGAUGGUAGCUAUUUAAGCAUUCAUGCUGUAAACAUGAAAAUGGUUUUACCCCUUCCCAA
RNAcentral lists this transfer RNA (62 nucleotides) under Goniodes dissimilis (brown chicken louse). RNAcentral's name for it is "tRNA-Tyr". Lineage: Eukaryota; Metazoa; Arthropoda; Insecta; Psocodea; Philopteridae. The record is from RNAcentral.